Molecule: ribosomal RNA, 1436 nt
Filed under: uncultured bacterium
Lineage: Bacteria
Description: bacterial SSU rRNA
Rfam family: Bacterial small subunit ribosomal RNA
Source: RNAcentral
AGAGUUUGAUCCUGGCUCAGAACGUACGCUGGCGGCACGCCUAACACAUGCAAGUCGAACGAAGUAGCAAUACUUAGUGGCAGACGGGUGAGUAACAUGUAGGUAUCUGCCCUUUGGCCUGGAAUAACACGAGGAAACUUGUGCUAAUACCGGAUAAGUCUUUACGGAGAAAGCUUUAUGCACCAUUGGAUGAGCCUGCACUUGAUUAGUUUGUUGGUGGGGUAAUGGCCUACCAAGACUGUGAUCAAUAGCUGAUUUGAGAGGAUGAUCAGCCACAUUGGGACUGAGACACGGCCCAAACUCCUACGGGAGGCAGCAGUGGGGAAUCUUGCACAAUGGAGGAAACUCUGAUGCAGCGAUGCCGCGUGAGUGAAAAAGGCCCUUGGGUUGUAAAGCUCUUUCGUCGGGGAAGAAAAUGACUGUACCCGAAUAAGAAGGUCCGGCUAACUUCGUGCCAGCAGCCGCGGUAAUACGAAGGGACCUAGCGUAGUUCGGAAUUACUGGGCUUAAAGAGUUCGUAGGUGGUUAAAAAAGUUGGUGGUGAAAUCCCAGAGCUUAACUCUGGAACUGCCAUCAAAACUUUUUAGCUAGAGUAUGAUAGAGGAAAGCAGAAUUUCUAGUGUAGAGGUGAAAUUCGUAGAUAUUAGAAAGAAUACCAAUUGCGAAGGCAGCUUUCUGGAUCAUUACUGACACUGAGGAACGAAAGCAUGGGUAGCGAAGAGGAUUAGAUACCCUCGUAGUCCAUGCCGUAAACGAUGUGUGUUAGACGUUGGAAAUUUAUUUUCAGUGUCGCAGCGAAAGCGAUAAACACACCGCCUGGGGAGUACGACCGCAAGGUUAAAACUCAAAUGAAUUGACGGGGACCCGCACAAGUAGUGGAGCAUGUGGUUUAAUUCGAAGAUACGCGCAGAACCUUACCAACACUUGACAUGUUCGUCGCGACUUUAAGAGAUUAAAGUUUUCGGUUCGGCCGGACGAAACACAGGUGCUGCAUGGCUGUCGUCAGCUCGUGUCGUGAGAUGUUGGGUUAAGUCCCGCAACGAGCGCAACCCUCACUUUUAGUUGCCAUCAUUUAGUUGGGCACUCUGAAAGAACUGCCAGUGAUAAGCUGGAGGAAGGUGGGGAUGACGUCAAGUCCUCAUGGCCCUUACGUGUUGGGCUACACACGUGCUACAAUGGUAUCUACAACAGGAAGCAAGACUGCGAAGUUAAGCAAAUCCUUAAAAGAUGCCUCAGUUCGGAUUGCACUCUGCAACUCGAGUGCAUGAAGCUGGAAUUACUAGUAAUCGCGGAUCAGCGCGCCGCGGUGAAUACGUUCCCGGGUCUUGUACACACCGCCCGUCACACCAUGGGAGUUGGUUCUACCUUAAGGCAAAGCUUAAAAACUUUGACCACGGUAUAGUCAGCGACUGGGGUGAAGUCGUAACAAGGUAACC